CAAUAUUCCCAAAACUUCAAACUCUCUUUACUCUCUCAUCUUUCAUCCGAUUUGGGCGAUUCAAAAGGCAAAGUUGUGAGAUUUUUCGAGGGCAACGCGUUGGUGAGCUCGGAUAGUGAUUUGGAGUCCCCGUUUGAGGUAAAUUUCGAAAAACACCUGCUGCCAGACCCCUUUUUGUGAGUUUGUUUUUGGGAAUUUUUAAGACUUGUUUUCUUAGCCAUUUUAGAUCCGAUUUUGGUGAUUUUUGAGGCUAUCUUGAGUGGUUUUUCGAGGAGAACAUUGUGGUGUUGUUAGAUUUUACUGUAGAUCGCCCGUUUUUGGUAAAUACGCUGAAUUAGCUGCUGUCCCAUUUCUAUUCUUUUGAGAAAAAUUGGGUUUUAGUUGCUUGUUGAUAUUGUGUUGUUCCCGAGCCCCGAAUUGUGUCCCAUUAUGGGAAAUGAGCUGGGGGAACUGGUUAGGACCCACUUUUGGGGUUAAUUUCGGAAUUCCCUGCGCGGGUCCCACGAUUCCCGUUUUGACUCCAAAAUUGACCCGUCUCCGUUUGUUGUGAUUUUGGUGUCUAAACGACUGUAAUAACGUUGUGACUCUAUUUUUGAUAGCGGGGCAGCGUU
RNAcentral lists this long non-coding RNA (611 nucleotides) under Solanum tuberosum (potato). Its description in RNAcentral is "long non-coding RNA (STUB_LNC006362)". Lineage: Eukaryota; Viridiplantae; Streptophyta; Magnoliopsida; Solanales; Solanaceae. The record is from RNAcentral.